RNAcentral lists this non-coding RNA (28 nucleotides) under Homo sapiens (human). The record is from RNAcentral. Lineage: Eukaryota; Metazoa; Chordata; Mammalia; Primates; Hominidae.
ACAUCAAGGAUGAUGCUAGAUGUAGGGU